CUACGGGUUGCUGCAGUGGGGAAUAUUGCACAAUGGGCGCAAGCCUGAUGCAGCCAUGCCGCGUGUAUGAAGAAGGCCUUCGGGUUUUAAAGUACUUUCAGCGGGGAGGAAGGGAGUAAAGUUAAUACCUUUGCUCAUUGACGUUACCCGCAGAAGAAGCACCGGCUAACUCCGUGCCAGCAGCCGCGGUAAUACGGAGGGUGCAAGCGUUAAUCGGAAUUACUGGGCGUAAAGCGCACGCAGGCGGUUUGUUAAGUCAGAUGUGAAAUCCCCGGGCUCAACCUGGGAACUGCAUCUGAUACUGGCAAGCUUGAGUCUCGUAGAGGGGGGUAGAAUUCCAGGUGUAGCGGUGAAAUGCGUAGAGAUUUGGAGGAAUACCGGUGGCGAAGGCGGCCCCCUGGACGAAGACUGACGCUCAGGUGCGAAAGCGUGGGGAGCAAACAGGAUUAGAUACCCUUGUAGUC
This 464-nucleotide ribosomal RNA is filed under the name uncultured bacterium. RNAcentral's name for it is "partial 16S ribosomal RNA". It matches the Rfam family "Bacterial small subunit ribosomal RNA", at positions 339 to 795 of the family's 1533-position model. The record is from RNAcentral.